UGAAGUAAAAGUCUUAACAAGGUCUCCGUUGGUGAACCAGCGGAGGGAUCAUUA
This 54-nucleotide ribosomal RNA is filed under the name Fusarium solani. Its description in RNAcentral is "partial 18S ribosomal RNA". It matches the Rfam family "Eukaryotic small subunit ribosomal RNA", at positions 1778 to 1831 of the family's 1831-position model. The record is from RNAcentral. Lineage: Eukaryota; Fungi; Ascomycota; Sordariomycetes; Hypocreales; Nectriaceae.